Molecule: ribosomal RNA, 657 nt
Filed under: uncultured bacterium
Lineage: Bacteria
Description: bacterial SSU rRNA
Rfam family: Bacterial small subunit ribosomal RNA
Source: RNAcentral
AACACAUGCAAGUCGAGGGGCAGCAUGAACUUAGCUUGCUAAGUUUGAUGGCGACCGGCGCACGGGUGAGUAACACGUAUCCAACCUGCCGAUGACUCGGGGAUAGCCUUUCGAAAGAAAGAUUAAUACCCGAUGGCAUAGUUCUUCCGCAUGGUAGAACUAUUAAAGAAUUUCGGUCAUCGAUGGGGAUGCGUUCCAUUAGGUUGUUGGCGGGGUAACGGCCCACCAAGCCUUCGAUGGAUAGGGGUUCUGAGAGGAAGGUCCCCCACAUUGGAACUGAGACACGGUCCAAACUCCUACGGGAGGCAGCAGUGAGGAAUAUUGGUCAAUGGACGAGAGUCUGAACCAGCCAAGUAGCGUGAAGGAUGACUGCCCUAUGGGUUGUAAACUUCUUUUAUACGGGAAUAAAGUGAGGCACGUGUGCCUUUUUGUAUGUACCGUAUGAAUAAGGAUCGGCUAACUCCGUGCCAGCAGCCGCGGUAAUACGGAGGAUCCGAGCGUUAUCCGGAUUUAUUGGGUUUAAAGGGAGCGUAGGCGGACGCUUAAGUCAGUUGUGAAAGUUUGCGGCUCAACCGUAAAAUUGCAGUUGAUACUGGGUGUCUUGAGUACAGUAGAGGCAGGCGGAAUUCGUGGUGUAGCGGUGAAAUGCUUAGAUAU